Molecule: ribosomal RNA, 254 nt
Filed under: uncultured bacterium
Lineage: Bacteria
Description: partial 16S ribosomal RNA
Rfam family: Bacterial small subunit ribosomal RNA
Source: RNAcentral
UACGUAGGGUGCGAGCGUUGUCCGGAAUUAUUGGGCGUAAAGAGCUCGUAGGCGGUGUGUCGCGUCGGUCGUGAAAACUUGGGGCUUAACCCUGAGCUUGCGGUCGAUACGGGCAUCACUGGAGUUCGGCAGGGGAGACUGGAAUUCCUGGUGUAGCGGUGAAAUGCGCAGAUAUCAGGAGGAACACCCGUAGCGAAGGCGGCGCUCUGGGCCGGUACUGACGCUGAGGAGCGAAAGCGUGGGGAGCAAACAGG